GUAGCAGGACUAGAAACUGUGAUGAGGAUCAAAAGGUCAAGUUGCUUGGUCAUUAGUUCUUUCCGUUAAUUCUCUUGAGGUUUGUGCACCAGUACAGAAGGUUCGAAGGUGAAGGAAGAUGAUAUUUUGUAAGCCAAUCAAGUCUUCUUUCCAAUGGAUCAAACCUUACAAGAUUUGGACUUUUAUACCAAGAGUUAUGGCAAUUUCAUUUAAGACUAUGCAGGUUGUCACGUUGACGCGCGUGGAUUGUAAAACGUGGUUAGUCUCUAUUCUAGAAGCCCUU
RNAcentral lists this long non-coding RNA (283 nucleotides) under Setaria viridis. Its description in RNAcentral is "long non-coding RNA (SVIR_LNC001788)". Lineage: Eukaryota; Viridiplantae; Streptophyta; Magnoliopsida; Poales; Poaceae. The record is from RNAcentral.